RNAcentral lists this ribosomal RNA (465 nucleotides) under Vreelandella stevensii. RNAcentral's name for it is "partial 16S ribosomal RNA". It matches the Rfam family "Bacterial small subunit ribosomal RNA", at positions 338 to 795 of the family's 1533-position model. Lineage: Bacteria; Pseudomonadati; Pseudomonadota; Gammaproteobacteria; Oceanospirillales; Halomonadaceae. The record is from RNAcentral.
CCUACGGGUGGCAGCAGUGGGGAAUAUUGGACAAUGGGGGCAACCCUGAUCCAGCCAUGCCGCGUGUGUGAAGAAGGCCCUCGGGUUGUAAAGCACUUUCAGUGAGGAAGAACGCCUGGUGGUUAAUACCCAUCAGGAAAGACAUCACUCACAGAAGAAGCACCGGCUAACUCCGUGCCAGCAGCCGCGGUAAUACGGAGGGUGCGAGCGUUAAUCGGAAUUACUGGGCGUAAAGCGCGCGUAGGUGGCUUGAUAAGCCGGUUGUGAAAGCCCCGGGCUCAACCUGGGAACGGCAUCCGGAACUGUCAAGCUAGAGUGCAGGAGAGGAAGGUAGAAUUCCCGGUGUAGCGGUGAAAGGCGUAGAGAUCGGGAGGAAUACCAGUGGCGAAGGCGGCCUUCUGGACUGAAACUGACACUGAGGUGCGAAGGCGUGGGUAGCAAACAGGAUUGGAUACCCCUGUAGUC